This 253-nucleotide ribosomal RNA is filed under the name uncultured bacterium. RNAcentral describes it as "partial 16S ribosomal RNA". It matches the Rfam family "Bacterial small subunit ribosomal RNA", at positions 524 to 776 of the family's 1533-position model. The record is from RNAcentral.
UACGGAGGGUGCAAGCGUUAUCCGGAUUCACUGGGAUUAAAGGGUGCGUAGGCGGGUUGGUAAGUCCGUGGUGAAAUCCCCAAGCUUAACUUGGGAACUGCCGUGGAUACUAUCAAUCUUGAAUAUCGUGGAGGUAAGCGGAAUAUGUCAUGUAGCGGUGAAAUGCUUAGAUAUGACAUAGAACACCAAUUGCGUAGGCAGCUUACUACACGAUCAUUGACGCUGAGGCACGAAAGCGUGGGGAGCAAACAGG